Molecule: long non-coding RNA, 307 nt
Organism: Sinocyclocheilus rhinocerous
Lineage: Eukaryota; Metazoa; Chordata; Actinopteri; Cypriniformes; Cyprinidae
Exons: 3
Source: RefSeq, a predicted model, not a curated record
UGAGAGCAGAGGGAAGAUGCCCAUUAAAUGAAAAUGCAUUUAACAUGCAGGAGAUUAUGGAUUAUGUUACCUGUCCAUCAGGUUUGCAGCAUUAAAGCCAAGACGAAGUGAAACUUUGAAUGGCACGCCAAGAAAAUAACAAACACAGAGGAUUGUAAGUGUUUCCACAGGCAAAACUAUAAAUCCAGAUGGUGUGGUGGAUCAGCCUGAGCCGAUGAAAAAUAACAGUGGAGGGCAGAAAAGCCUGAAAAAAAAUGUAUGAAGGUGGUGAUAGAAUAAGAAUUUCACACCUACAGUACCUACCACA